UAAGCCUGCGAAGGUGGCCUGUGAGGGUUGCUGGAGGUAUCAGAAGUGCGAAUGCUGACAUAAGUAACGAUAAAGCGGGUGAAAAGCCCGCUCGCCGGAAGACCAAGGGUUCCUGUCCAACGUUAAUCGGGGCAGGGUGAGUCGACCCCUAAGGCGAGGCCGAAAGGCGUAGUCGAUGGGAAACGGGUUAAUAUUCCCGUACUUGGUGUUACUGCGAAGGGGGGACGGAGAAGGCUAUGUUGGCCGGGCGACGGUUGUCCCGGUUUAAGCGUGUAGGUGUGUGUUCCAGGUAAAUCCGGUUCACUUUAACACUGAGGCGUGACGACGAGGCACUACGGUGCUGAAGUAACAAAUGCCCUGCUUCCAGGAAAAGCCUCUAAGCAUCAGGUAACAUCAAAUCGUACCCCAAACCGACACAGGUGGUCAGGUAGAGAAUACCAAGGCGCUUGAGAGAACUCGGGUGAAGGAACUAGGCAAAAUGGUGCCGUAACUUCGGGAGAAGGCACGCUGACACGUAGGUGAAGUGAUUUACUCAUGGAGCUGAAGUCAGUCGAAGAUACCAGCUGGCUGCAACUGUUUAUUAAAAACACAGCACUGUGCAAACACGAAAGUGGACGUAUACGGUGUGACGCCUGCCCGGUGCCGGAAGGUUAAUUGAUGGGGUCAGCGCAAGCGAAGCUCCUGAUCGAAGCCCCGGUAAACGGCGGCCGUAACUAUAACGGUCCUAAGGUAGCGAAAUUCCUUGUCGGGUAAGUUCCGACCUGCACGAAUGGCGUAAUGAUGGCCAGGCUGUCUCCACCCGAGACUCAGUGAAAUUGAACUCGCUGUGAAGAUGCAGUGUACCCGCGGCAAGACGGAAAGACCCCGUGAACCUUUACUAUAGCUUGACACUGAACAUUGAGCCUUGAUGUGUAGGAUAGGUGGGAGGCUUUGAAGUGUGGACGCCAGUCUGCAUGGAGCCGACCUUGAAAUACCACCCUUUAAUGUUUGAUGUUCUAACGUGGACCCGUAAUCCGGGUUGCGGACAGUGUCUGGUGGGUAGUUUGACUGGGGCGGUCUCCUCCUAAAGAGUAACGGAGGAGCACGAAGGUUGGCUAAUCCUGGUCGGACAUCAGGAGGUUAGUGCAAUGGCAUAAGCCAGCUUGACUGCGAGCGUGACGGCGCGAGCAGGUGCGAAAGCAGGUCAUAGUGAUCCGGUGGUUCUGAAUGGAAGGGCCAUCGCUCAACGGAUAAAAGGUACUCCGGGGAUAACAGGCUGAUACCGCCCAAGAGUUCAUAUCGACGGCGGUGUUUGGCACCUCGAUGUCGGCUCAUCACAUCCUGGGGCUGAAGUAGGUCCCAAGGGUAUGGCUGUUCGCCAUUUAAAGUGGUACGCGAGCUGGGUUUAGAACGUCGUGAGACAGUUCGGUCCCUAUCUGCCGUGGGCGCUGGAGAACUGAGGGGGGCUGCUCCUAGUACGAGAGGACCGGAGUGGACGCAUCACUGGUGUUCG
This 1492-nucleotide ribosomal RNA is filed under the name Salmonella enterica subsp. enterica serovar Bahati. RNAcentral describes it as "partial 23S ribosomal RNA". It matches the Rfam family "Bacterial large subunit ribosomal RNA", at positions 1243 to 2718 of the family's 2925-position model. Lineage: Bacteria; Pseudomonadati; Pseudomonadota; Gammaproteobacteria; Enterobacterales; Enterobacteriaceae. The record is from RNAcentral.